UCAAUGGUGGCUCAGGCGGGGCUGACUUCGGUCAGGCCGGUAUUCUUAGAGGCCGGUAUUUCCACCCCCGUCUGGGCUACCACCCA
Molecule: non-coding RNA, 86 nt
Filed under: Serratia ureilytica
Lineage: Bacteria; Pseudomonadati; Pseudomonadota; Gammaproteobacteria; Enterobacterales; Yersiniaceae
Source: RNAcentral